This 253-nucleotide ribosomal RNA is filed under the name uncultured bacterium. RNAcentral's name for it is "partial 16S ribosomal RNA". It matches the Rfam family "Bacterial small subunit ribosomal RNA", at positions 524 to 776 of the family's 1533-position model. The record is from RNAcentral.
UACGGGGGGGGCAAGCGUUGUUCGGAAUUACUGGGCGUAAAGGGUUCGUAGGUGGCCUACUAAGUCAGACGUGAAAUCCCUCAGCUUAACUGGGGAACUGCGUCUGAUACUGGGGGGCUUGAGGACAGGAGAGGAACGCGGAAUUCCAGGUGUAGCGGUGAAAUGCGUAGAUAUCUGGAGGAACACCGGUGGCGAAGGUGGCGUUCUGGACUGUUUCUGACACUGAGGAACGAAAGCCAGGGGAGCAAACGGG